AUUCGCCCUUAGAGUUUGAUCCUGGCUCAGGAUGAACGCUAGCUACAGGCUUAACACAUGCAAGUCGAGGGGAAACGACAUCGAAAGCUUGCUUUUGAUGGGCGUCGACCGGCGCACGGGUGAGUAACGCGUAUCCAACCUGCCCACCACUUGGGGAUAACCUUGCGAAAGUAAGACUAAUACCCAAUGACGUCUCUAGAAGACAUCUGAAAGGGAUUAAAGAUUUAUCGGUGAUGGAUGGGGAUGCGUCUGAUUAGCUUGUUGGCGGGGUAACGGCCCACCAAGGCGACGAUCAGUAGGGGUUCUGAGAGGAAGGUCCCCCACAUUGGAACUGAGACACGGUCCAAACUCCUACGGGAGGCAGCAGUGAGGAAUAUUGGUCAAUGGACGAGAGUCUGAACCAGCCAAGUAGCGUGCAGGAAGACGGCCCUAUGGGUUGUAAACUGCUUUUAUAAGGGAAUAAAGUGAGUCUCGUGAGACUUUUUGCAUGUACCUUAUGAAUAAGGACCGGCUAAUUCCGUGCCAGCAGCCGCGGUAAUACGGAAGGUCCGGGCGUUAUCCGGAUUUAUUGGGUUUAAAGGGAGCGUAGGCCGGAGAUUAAGCGUGUUGUGAAAUGUAGACGCUCAACGUCUGCACUGCAGCGCGAACUGGUUUCCUUGAGUACGCACAAAGUGGGCGGAAUUCGUGGUGUAGCGGUGAAAUGCUUAGAUAUCACGAAGAACUCCGAUUGCGAAGGCAGCUCACUGGAGCGCAACUGACGCUGAAGCUCGAAAGUGCGGGUAUCGAACAGGAUUAGAUACCCUGGUAGUCCGCACGGUAAACGAUGGAUGCCCGCUGUUGGUCUGAAUAGGUCAGCGGCCAAGCGAAAGCAUUAAGCAUCCCACCUGGGGAGUACGCCGGCAACGGUGAAACUCAAAUGAAUUGACGGA
This 929-nucleotide ribosomal RNA is filed under the name uncultured bacterium. Its description in RNAcentral is "bacterial SSU rRNA". It matches the Rfam family "Bacterial small subunit ribosomal RNA", at positions 1 to 917 of the family's 1533-position model. The record is from RNAcentral.